GGAAUCUUCGGCAAUGGACGAAAGUCUGACUGAGCAACGCCGCGUGAGUGAAGAAGGUUUUCGGAUCGUAAAACUCUGUUGGUAGAGAAGAACGUUGGUGAGAGUGGAAAGCUCAUCAAGUGACGGUAACUACCCAGAAAGGGACGGCUAACUACGUGCCAG
This 162-nucleotide ribosomal RNA is filed under the name uncultured bacterium. Its description in RNAcentral is "partial 16S ribosomal RNA". It matches the Rfam family "Bacterial small subunit ribosomal RNA", at positions 358 to 511 of the family's 1533-position model. The record is from RNAcentral.